This 76-nucleotide transfer RNA is filed under the name bacterium. RNAcentral's name for it is "tRNA-Thr". It matches the Rfam family "tRNA". From Rfam's summary of the family: Transfer RNA (tRNA) molecules are approximately 80 nucleotides in length. Their secondary structure includes four short double-helical elements and three loops (D, anti-codon, and T loops). Further hydrogen bonds mediate the characteristic L-shaped molecular structure. tRNAs have two regions of fundamental functional importance: the anti-codon, which is responsible for specific mRNA codon recognition, and the 3' end, to which the tRNAs corresponding amino acid is attached (by aminoacyl-tRNA synthetases). tRNAs cope with the degeneracy of the genetic code in two manners: having more than one tRNA (with a specific anti-codon) for a particular amino acid; and 'wobble' base-pairing, i.e. permitting non-standard base-pairing at the 3rd anti-codon position. RNAcentral also lists the same sequence under 4 other names. The record is from RNAcentral.
GCCCAUGUAGCUCAAAAGCAGAGCGGUCGCCUUGUAAGCGACAGGUAGCGGGAGCAUUACCACGCCUUGGGCUCCA